RNAcentral lists this ribosomal RNA (292 nucleotides) under uncultured bacterium. Its description in RNAcentral is "partial 16S ribosomal RNA". It matches the Rfam family "Bacterial small subunit ribosomal RNA", at positions 28 to 334 of the family's 1533-position model. The record is from RNAcentral.
GAUGAACGCUGGCGGCGUGGCUAAGGCAUGCAAGUCGACUGUCCCUUCGGGGGCAGGGCAGACGGGAGAGUAACACAUUGGUAACCUACCCCGAAGAGAAGGAUAACCUCCCGAAAGGGAGAAUAAUACUUCAUGUGCUCGAUUCUCAUAUGUGAAUCGCGUAAAUGCUCCGGCGCUUCGGGAGGGGCCUAUGUUCCAUCAGCUUGUUGGUGAGGUAAAAGCUCACCAAGGCUCUGACGGAUACCGGGUGUGAGAGCAUGACCCGGCUCAAUGGGACUGAGACACUGCCCAU